Molecule: transfer RNA, 23 nt
Filed under: Pachysandra terminalis
Lineage: Eukaryota; Viridiplantae; Streptophyta; Magnoliopsida; Buxales; Buxaceae
Description: partial transfer RNA-Phe
Source: RNAcentral
GUCGGGAUAGCUCAGCAGGUAGA